UGAACGCUGGCGGCGUGCCUAAUACAUGCACGUCGAGCGAACGGACGAGAAGCUUGCUUCUCUGAUGUUAGCGGCGGACGGGUGAGUAACACGUGGAUAACCUACCUAUAAGACUGGGAUAACUUCGGGAAACCGUAGCUAAUACCGGAUAAUAUUUUGAACCGCAUGGUUCAAAAGUGAAAGACGGUCUUGCUGUCACUUAUAGAUGGAUCCGCGCUGCAUUAGCUAGUUGGUAAGGUAACGGCUUACCAAGGCAACGAUGCAUAGCCGACCUGAGAGGGUGAUCGGCCACACUGGAACUGAGACACGGUCCAGACUCCUACGGGAGGCAGCAGUAGGGAAUCUUCCGCAAUGGGCGAAAGCCUGACGGAGCAACGCCGCGUGAGUGAUGAAGGUCUUCGGAUCGUAAAACUCUGUUAUUAGGGAAGAACAUAUGUGUAAGUAACUGUGCACAUCUUGACGGUACCUAAUCAGAAAGCCACGGCUAACUACGUG
RNAcentral lists this ribosomal RNA (495 nucleotides) under uncultured bacterium. RNAcentral describes it as "partial 16S ribosomal RNA". It matches the Rfam family "Bacterial small subunit ribosomal RNA", at positions 30 to 507 of the family's 1533-position model. The record is from RNAcentral.